CUUUCCUGUGCUGUCCUCAUGAUAGUGAGUAAGUCUCACACUAUCUGAUGGUUUUAAAAAGGGAAGUUUCCCUUCACAAGCUCAUUUCUUGCCUGCUGCCAUCCAUGUAAGAUGUGACUUGCUCCUCCUUGUCUUCCACCAUGAUUGUGAGGCUUCCAGCUACAUGAAACUGCUCAUAGGCAGGCGGUACUUGCCUUGUCCCAGAUGGGACUUUGGACUGUGGACUUUUGAGUUGAUGCAGAAGUGAGUUGAGACUUUGGGGGACUGCUGGGAAGGCAUGAUUGGUAUUGAAAUGUGAAGAUAUGAGAUUUGGGAGAGGCCAGGGGUGGAAUGAUAUGGUUUGGCUCUGUGUCCCCACCCAAAUCUCAUCUUGAAUUCCUAUGUGUUGUGGGAGGAACCUAGUGGGAGGUAAUUGAAUCAUGGGGGCAGGUCCUUCCCAUGCUGUUCUUGUGAUAGUGAAUAAGUCUCAUGAGAUCUGAUGGUUUUAAAAAGGGGAAUUUCCCUGCACAAUUGCUCUCGUCUUUUGCCUGCCACCAUCCACGUAAGAUGUGACUUGCUCCUCCUUCC
This 567-nucleotide long non-coding RNA is filed under the name Homo sapiens (human). RNAcentral's name for it is "HSALNT0158583". Lineage: Eukaryota; Metazoa; Chordata; Mammalia; Primates; Hominidae. The record is from RNAcentral.